This 359-nucleotide transfer-messenger RNA is filed under the name Deltaproteobacteria bacterium. It matches the Rfam family "transfer-messenger RNA". From Rfam's summary of the family: Bacterial tmRNA, also known as 10Sa RNA or SsrA, is named for its dual tRNA and mRNA-like properties. Its role is to liberate the mRNA from a stalled ribosome. The record is from RNAcentral. Lineage: Bacteria; Pseudomonadati; Myxococcota; Myxococcia.
GGGGGUGAAAAGGUUUCGACGGGGGUCGGAAGCACAGGUUGCAUGUCGGGGAUGCCGGUUGGCCCCGUUAAUAAGCCGGUAAACCAAUAAACGCCGACAACGACGUUACUUUUGCACUGGCGGCUUAAUUGCCGUCACAUCCUCUGAUUCCUCGCCUGUGGGAAUCUUCGGGAUGUCAUUUCAGCAGGCUGGCUCCGUCAAUCGUUCCGUGUUGCCGUAGCGAGAUCUUAGCGGAAUCGCUGUUGCAAAAUCCGGUUCACGGGAGUUUGAAACAGUUAAAUCCAAAACGUGAACUAAACAUGUAGACGCUUGCUGUGGAAAACUUUCGGACGCGGGUUCGAUUCCCGCCACCUCCACCA